AGGACGAACGCUGGCGGCGUGCUUAACACAUGCAAGUCGAGCGGAAAGGCCCUUCGGGGUACUCGAGCGGCGAACGGGUGAGUAACACGUGAGUAAUCUGCCCCUAGCUCUGGGAUAGCUCCGGGAAACCGGGAUUAAUACCGGAUACGACCACUUUAGACAUCUGUUGUGGUGGAAAGAAUUUUGGCUAGGGAUGAGCUCGCGGCCUAUCAGCUUGUUGGUGGGGUAACGGCCUACCGAAGGCGACGGACGGGUA
RNAcentral lists this ribosomal RNA (256 nucleotides) under uncultured bacterium. RNAcentral's name for it is "partial small subunit ribosomal RNA". It matches the Rfam family "Bacterial small subunit ribosomal RNA", at positions 26 to 285 of the family's 1533-position model. The record is from RNAcentral.